CGGGAAGAGCUCAAAUUUAAAAUCUGGCAGUGUAUUCUGUCCGAGUUGUAGUCUAGAGAAGCAUCAUCCGUGCUGGACCNUGUACAAGUCUCUUGGAACAGAGCGUCAUAGAGGGUGAGAAUCCCGUCCUUGACAUGGACUCCCAGUACUUUGUGUUGUGCUCUCAACGAGUCGAGUUGUUUGGGAAUGCAGCUCAAAAUGGGUGGUAAAUUCCAUCUAAAGCUAAAUAUUGGCGAGAGACCGAUAGCGAACAAGUACCGNGAGGGAAAGAUGAAAAGCACUUUGGAGAGAGAGUUAAACAGUACGUGAAAUUGUUGAAAUGGAAACGCUUGAAGUCAGUCGCGUUCUCUGGGAUUCAGCCUUGCUUUUGCUUGGUGCAUUUCCUAGUCUACGGGCCAGCAUGAAUUUUGACCAGUGGAAAAAGGCUAGGGGAAUGUGGCACCUUUGGGUGUGUUAUAGCCCCUUGUCACAUACAUUGGUUGGGAUUGAGGUCUUAGUGCACGCUUCGGUUGUGCUUUGAUGCUGGCGUAAUGGCUUUAAACGACCCGUCUUGAAACACGGACCAAGGAGUCUAACAUGUCUGCGAGUGUUUGGGUGCAAAACCCGAGCGCGUAAUGAAAGUGAUAGUUGGGAACCUCUUUAGAGGGGCACCGACGCCCGGACCAGACCUUCUGUGACGGAUCCGAGGUNGAGCAUAUAUGUUGGGACCCGAAAGAUGGUGAACUAUGCCUGCAUAGGGUGAAGCCAGAGGAAACUCUGGUGGAGGCUCGUAGCGAUUCUGACGUGCAAAUCGAUCGUCAAAUGUGGGUAUAGGGGCGAAAGACUAAUCGAACCAUUAGUGUGCUACUUGGUGGUUAAGAGGCAAUCUUAAAGGGUUAGCCUAGUGAGCGUUGAGGCUUGCAACACUGUCAAAUUGCGGGGACGUCCUAAAGCUUUUGCGACCAAGCAUUGGUGGAAACAUCAGUGUGGCCGAGUUAAUAGCCCUGGGUAUGGUAAAACUGCAAAAGAUGUUACAAUGGAUAAUCCGCAGCCAAGUCCUAAGGAUCCUUUAUUGGGUCUAUGGAUGCAGUUCACAGACUAAAUGGCAGUGGGUGUGUAUUGAGUUGGGAUUAUUUCCGAUUCUACAUGCUUAAGAUAUAGUCGGUCCUGCNGCGAAAGCNGACUGGUGGAUGAAGUUCAUGGUCCCUCAACUUAAAGGCCAUUGUUCNGGAGCCANNGGNGUANUNGG
Molecule: ribosomal RNA, 1228 nt
Filed under: Rhizoctonia solani
Lineage: Eukaryota; Fungi; Basidiomycota; Agaricomycetes; Cantharellales; Ceratobasidiaceae
Description: LSU rRNA
Rfam family: Eukaryotic large subunit ribosomal RNA
Source: RNAcentral